RNAcentral lists this ribosomal RNA (477 nucleotides) under uncultured bacterium. RNAcentral's name for it is "partial 16S ribosomal RNA". It matches the Rfam family "Bacterial small subunit ribosomal RNA", at positions 28 to 507 of the family's 1533-position model. The record is from RNAcentral.
GAUGAACGCUGGCGGCGUGCCUAACACAUGCAUGUCGAACGAAGCACCUUACCUGAUUCUUCGGAUGAAAGUUUGGUGACUGAGUGGCGGACGGGUGAGUAACGCGUGGGUAACCUGCCCUGUACAGGGGGAUAACAGCUGGAAACGGCUGCUAAUACCGCAUAAGCGCACGAGGAGACAUCUCCUUGUGUGAAAAACUCCGGUGGUACAGGAUGGGCCCGCGUCUGAUUAGCUGGUUGGCAGGGUAACGGCCUACCAAGGCAACGAUCAGUAGCCGGUCUGAGAGGAUGAACGGCCACAUUGGAACUGAGACACGGUCCAAACUCCUACGGGAGGCAGCAGUGGGGAAUAUUGCACAAUGGGGGAAACCCUGAUGCAGCAACGCCGCGUGAGUGAAGAAGUAUUUCGGUAUGUAAAGCUCUAUCAGCAGGGAAGAUAAUGACGGUACCUGACGAAGAAGCUCCGGCUAAAUACGUG